CCUACGGGAGGCAGCAGUGGGGAAUAUUGGGCAAUGGGCGCAAGCCUGACCCAGCAAUGCCGCGUGAAGGAAGAAGGCUUUCGGGUUGUAAACUUCUUUGACAGGGGAAGAGCAGAAGACGGUACCCUGAAAACAAGCCACGGCUAACUACGUGCCAGCAGCCGCGGUAAUACGUAGGUGGCAAGCGUUGUCCGGAUUUACUGGGUGUAAAGGGCGUGUAGCCGGGAAGGCAAGUCAGAUGUGAAAUCUGGAGGCUCAAACCCCAAAUUGCAUUUGAAACUGUUUUUCUUGAGUACUGGAGAGGCAGACGGAAUUCCUUGUGUAGCGGUGAAAUGCGUAGAUAUAAGGAGGAACACCAGUGGCGAAGGCGGUCUGCUGGACAGCGACUGACGGUGAGGCGCGAAAGCGUGGGGAGCAAACAGGAUUAGAUACCCCAGUAGUC
This 442-nucleotide ribosomal RNA is filed under the name uncultured bacterium. Its description in RNAcentral is "partial 16S ribosomal RNA". It matches the Rfam family "Bacterial small subunit ribosomal RNA", at positions 338 to 795 of the family's 1533-position model. The record is from RNAcentral.